AACGAACGCUGGCGGCAUGCCUAACACAUGCAAGUCGAACGGGAUCUUCGGGUCUAGUGGCGCACGGGUGCGUAACGCGUGGGAAUCUGCCCUUUGGUUCGGAAUAACAGUUGGAAACGACUGCUAAUACCGGAUGAUGACGAAAGUCCAAAGAUUUAUCGCCAGAGGAUGAGCCCGCGUAGGAUUAGCUAGUUGGUGUGGUAAAGGCGCACCAAGGCGACGAUCCUUAGCUGGUCUGAGAGGAUGAUCAGCCACACUGGGACUGAGACACGGCCCAGACUCCUACGGGGGGCAGCAGUGGGGAAUAUUGGACAAUGGGCGAAAGCUUGAUCCAGCAAUGCCGCGUGAGUGAUGAAGGCCUUAGGGUUGUAAAGCUCUUUUACCCGGGAUGAUAAUGACAGUACCGGGAGAAUAAGCUCCGGCUAACUCCGUGCCAGCAGCCGCCGUAA
Molecule: ribosomal RNA, 449 nt
Filed under: uncultured bacterium
Lineage: Bacteria
Description: partial 16S ribosomal RNA
Rfam family: Bacterial small subunit ribosomal RNA
Source: RNAcentral